AUUGAACGCUGGCGGCAUGCCUUACACAUGCAAGUCGAACGGCAGCACGGGUGCUUGCACCUGGUGGCGAGUGGCGAACGGGUGAGUAAUACAUCGGAACAUGUCCUGUAGUGGGGGAUAGCCCGGCGAAAGCCGGAUUAAUACCGCAUACGAUCUACGGAUGAAAGCGGGGGACCUUCGGGCCUCGCGCUAUAGGGUUGGCCGAUGGCUGAUUAGCUAGUUGGUGGGGUAAAGGCCUACCAAGGCGACGAUCAGUAGCUGGUCUGAGAGGACGACCAGCCACACGGGGACUGGGCCACGCCCCAAACCCCUAGGGGGGGCAGCAGUGGGGAUUUUGGAAAAAGGGGGGAAAGCCUGAUCCAGCAAGGCCGGGGUGGGGAAAAAGGCCUUGGGGUGGAAAAGCCCUUUUGUCCGGAAAAAAAUCUUUGGCCCUAAAACGGUGGGGGGAUGACGGUACCGGAAAAAAAAGCACCGGCAAACUAGGG
RNAcentral lists this ribosomal RNA (485 nucleotides) under uncultured bacterium. Its description in RNAcentral is "partial 16S ribosomal RNA". It matches the Rfam family "Bacterial small subunit ribosomal RNA", at positions 29 to 506 of the family's 1533-position model. The record is from RNAcentral.